Molecule: non-coding RNA, 155 nt
Organism: Podarcis lilfordi (Lilford's wall lizard)
Lineage: Eukaryota; Metazoa; Chordata; Lepidosauria; Squamata; Lacertidae
Source: the annotation of a GenBank genome assembly
UGUGCAUGCUAUUUUAUGGAUAUAUAAAUUAAUUUUGUGUAGCAGUUUGUAACGCGGGCCAGGAUUUAUUCAUUUUAAUUAGUUGCAUGCUAAAAUACACUGUGUGUGUGUGUGUGUGUGUGUGUGUGUGUGUGUAUGCACACACACACACACAA